RNAcentral lists this ribosomal RNA (459 nucleotides) under uncultured bacterium. Its description in RNAcentral is "partial 16S ribosomal RNA". It matches the Rfam family "Bacterial small subunit ribosomal RNA", at positions 338 to 795 of the family's 1533-position model. The record is from RNAcentral.
CCUACGGGGGGCAGCAGUGAGGAAUAUUGGUCAAUGGCCGGAAGGCUGAACCAGCCAAGCCGCGUGAAGGACGAAGGUGCCAAGCAUUGUAAACUUCUUUUGUCAAGGGACAAAAUCAGGCUCGAGAGCCUGACCGAGGGUACUUGAAGAAAAAGCAUCGGCUAACUCCGUGCCAGCAGCCGCGGUAAUACGGAGGAGGCGAGCGUUAGCCGGAUUUAGUGGGUUUAAAGGGUGCGUAGGCGGACGGUUAAGUCAGCGGUAAAAGCCCGGGGCUCAACCCCGGCGAGCCGUUGAAACUGGCUGUGUUGAGAUGUCUAGAGGUAUACGACAUGCGCCGUGUAGCGGUGACCUGCUUAGCUAUUGCGCAGCACUCCGAUUGCGACGGCAGCAUACCGGCGGCGAUCUGACGCUGAGGCACGAAAGCGUGUGUAUCGAACAGGAUUAGAUACCCUAGUAGUC